This 501-nucleotide ribosomal RNA is filed under the name uncultured bacterium. RNAcentral's name for it is "partial 16S ribosomal RNA". It matches the Rfam family "Bacterial small subunit ribosomal RNA", at positions 30 to 523 of the family's 1533-position model. The record is from RNAcentral.
AUUGAACGCUGGCGGCAGGCUUAACACAUGCAAGUCGAGCGGAGAUGAGGUGCUUGCACCUUAUCUUAGCGGCGGACGGGUGAGUAAUGCUUAGGAAUCUGCCUAUUAGUGGGGGACAACAUUCCGAAAGGAAUGCUAAUACCGCAUACGUCCUACGGGAGAAAGCAGGGGAUCUUCGGACCUUGCGCUAAUAGAUGAGCCUAAGUCGGAUUAGCUAGUUGGUGGGGUAAAGGCCUACCAAGGCGACGAUCUGUAGCGGGUCUGAGAGGAUGAUCCGCCACACUGGGACUGAGACACGUCCCAGACUCCUACGGGAGGCAGCAGUGGGGAAGAUUGGACAAUGGGGGGAACCCUGGUCCAGCCAUGCCGCCUGUGUGAAGAAGGCCUUAUGGUUGUAAAGCACUUUAAGCGAGGAGGAGGCUACUGAGACUAAUACUCUUGGAUAGUGGACGUUACUCGCAGAAUAAGCACCGGCUAACUCUGUGCCAGCCGCCGCCGUAA